Molecule: ribosomal RNA, 459 nt
Filed under: uncultured bacterium
Lineage: Bacteria
Description: partial 16S ribosomal RNA
Rfam family: Bacterial small subunit ribosomal RNA
Source: RNAcentral
CCUACGGGAGGCAGCAGUGAGGAAUAUUGGUCAAUGGGCGCGAGCCUGAACCAGCCAAGUCGCGUGAGGGAAGACGGUCCUAUGGAUUGUAAACCUCUUUUGUCGGGGAGCCAAAGACGCCACGCGUGGCGUUCCGAGAGUACCCGAAGAAAAAGCAUCGGCUUACUCCGUGCCAGCAGCCGCGGUAAUACUGAGGAUGGGAGCGUUAUCCGGAUUUAUUGGGUUUAACGGUGGCGUAGGCGGUCCGUUAAGUCAGCGGUAAAAUUGCGGGGCUCAACCCCGUCGAGCCGUUGAAACUGGCAGACUUGAGGUGGCGAGAAGGACGCGGAAUGCGCGGGGUAGCGGUGAAAUGAAUAGAUAGCGCGCAGAACUCCGAUUGCGAAGGCAGCGGACCGGCGCCAGACUGACGCUGAGGCACGAAAGCGUGGGGAUCGAACAGGAUUAGAUACCCUAGUAGUC